RNAcentral lists this ribosomal RNA (308 nucleotides) under uncultured soil bacterium. Its description in RNAcentral is "bacterial SSU rRNA". It matches the Rfam family "Bacterial small subunit ribosomal RNA", at positions 26 to 363 of the family's 1533-position model. The record is from RNAcentral.
AGAACGAACGCUGGCGGCAUGCCUAAUACAUGCAAGUCGAACGAACUCUUCGGAGUUAGUGGCGCACGGGUGCGUAACGCGUGGGAAUCUGCCCCUUGGUUCGGAAUAACAGUUGGAAACGACUGCUAAUACCGGAUGAUGACGAAAGUCCAAAGAUUUAUCGCCAAGGGAUGAGCCCGCGUAGGAUUAGCUAGUUGGUGAGGUAAAGGCUCACCAAGGCAACGAUCCUUAGCUGGUCUGAGAGGAUGAUCAGCCACACCGGAACUGAGACACGGUCCGGACUCCUACGGGAGGCAGCAGUGGGAAUA